This 349-nucleotide ribosomal RNA is filed under the name uncultured bacterium. RNAcentral describes it as "partial 16S ribosomal RNA". It matches the Rfam family "Bacterial small subunit ribosomal RNA", at positions 338 to 684 of the family's 1533-position model. The record is from RNAcentral.
CCUACGGGUGGCAGCAGUGAGGAAUAUUGGUCAAUGGCCGGAAGGCUGAACCAGCCAUGCCGCGUGAAGGUCAGUGCCCUAUGGGCGUUAAACUUCUUUUGUGCGAGAGCAAUAAUGGUCACGUGUGGCCAGACGAGAGUACCGUACUAAUAAGCAUCGGCUAACUACGUUCCAGCAGCCGCGGUAAUACGGGGGAUGCAAGCGUUAUUCAGAUUUAUUGGGUUUAAAGGGUGCGUAGGCUGAGAGGUAAGUCAGCGGUGAAAUGCACGCGCUCAACGGGGUGAAGUGCCAUUGAUACUGCCUUGCUGGAAUGCGAAUGUCGUGGGAGGCAUGUGUGGUGUAGCGGUGA